This 491-nucleotide ribosomal RNA is filed under the name uncultured bacterium. RNAcentral's name for it is "partial 16S ribosomal RNA". It matches the Rfam family "Bacterial small subunit ribosomal RNA", at positions 29 to 506 of the family's 1533-position model. The record is from RNAcentral.
AGUGAACGCUGGCGGUAGGCCUAACACAUGCAAGUCGAACGGCAGCACAGUAAGAGCUUGCUCUUACGGGUGGCGAGUGGCGGACGGGUGAGGAAUACAUCGGAAUCUACUUUUUCGUGGGGGAUAACGUAGGGAAACUUACGCUAAUACCGCAUGCGACCUACGGGUGAAAGCAGGGGAUCUUCGGACCUUGCGCGAUUGAAUGAGCCGAUGUCGGAUUAGCUAGUUGGCGGGGUAAAGGCCCACCAAGGCGACGAUCCGUAGCUGGUCUGAGAGGAUGAUCAGCCACACUGGAACUGAGACACGGUCCAGACUCCUACGGGAGGCAGCAGUGGGGAAUAUUGGACAAUGGGCGCAAGCCUGAUCCAGCCAUACCGCGUGGGUGAAGAAGGCCUUCGGGUUGUAAAGCCCUUUUGUUGGGAAAGAAAAGCGGCAGGUUAAUACCCCGCUGUUCCGACGGUACCCAAAGAAUAAACACCGGCUAACUUCGU